Leucoraja erinaceus (little skate) is the source of this 7654-nucleotide long non-coding RNA. RefSeq lists it as uncharacterized. The record is from RefSeq and is a predicted model, not a curated record. The transcript is spliced from 3 exons. NCBI's taxonomy places the organism in Eukaryota, Metazoa, Chordata, Chondrichthyes, Rajiformes, Rajidae.
AACAUUGAAUCUAUUGCAGAGAACAGAACCGGCAACAUUAGCUAAUAGCCUAAACAUUACAUACCCUGAGCUGAGGUCUUGCAGACACAAAGAGAUGCUGCCUCUCAAUUCUUGCAGUUAUCAGCCACAAUCAACACGAAGCAGGAAUGAUUUGCAGCGAGUAGACCAGCUCGUCAAUGCGAUUGGAAAUUCAACGUUAUCUCUAGGUUCUAAGGAGUGAGAGUUGGGAAAUAUCUUGUUGAAAGAUCAUGCUGAAUGUGGCGGCUCCAUUUGGUACAAGGGAAGGCAUGGAACGUGAGUCCACGUGCAUCACAGAGUCCUCCCGAGGAUCACCAUGGAGUCGGACCAAACCAUUUGAUGCCAAUGCAAGGAUGGAGUCAUUAUCCCUCAUCCAGCCAACUGAGAGCUGGUGAUUCUGCAGGGCAAUGCUUGCCUUCAACUAUUCAUGACUCAACAUCUCUUGGACCUGGCCUGUUCUCAGCUAAAUGUGGAGGUCUGAGGGGUGUGAGAUUCCAACCUUCACGUGGUCCGCCCUGUUUCGACGAAUGCAAUCAAACUGGCGUGCACAAUGAAAUAGGAUCAAAUAGAACAACUUAUCCUACAACUUUCGGCUGUGCACGCCAUACGCAAGAAGAAGAAGAAGAUCUACGCUAUAUACACUAGGAGCAAUUUACAGAGGGCCAGUUAACCUACAAACUUUCACACCUUUGAGAAGUGGGAGGGAACCAGAGCAGCCAGAGGAAACCCACACAGCCACAGGGAGAACGUGCAAACUCCACACGGACAGCACCCGAGGACAGGAUCGUACCCGGGUCUCCAGCACUGCGAGGCAACAGCUCUAUGUGCUGCACCACUGUGCCACAUGAAAUGAAGAGGAACCACCAAGAAAAUAUGGAUAAGAUAAUUACCUAAAUAAUUGUAUCUGGGAUUAAAUCUCAGUACUUGUGAAGUAAUGUAUUUUGAUAACACAAUGUGGGGAAACAUUGGGAAAAGUUUUCAAGACAUUUCAGGCCUAUGAAGUGUAAAUGUGUUUACUGUUCUACACUAAGGCGCAUGGGAUUUAACAGCCAAGAUAUUAUUUUGAACCUAAGUAAAAUAAAGAACCAAAGAUAUGGGAACUGAGACAGCCAGUAUGGCCCCGAAGUCUGAAGAAGAGUCCUGACAGGAAAGUGUCACCUAUCCAUGUUCUCCAGAGAUGCUGCCUGACCCACAAAGUUACUCCAGCAUUUUGUGUCCUUUAGUAUGAUUCCCAACCUGCUGUGAUUUUGGCCACAGUUCCACAUUCCUACCUGAUUCCCAUAAUCCUUGACACCUUUACUUAACUAAGCCGUGAAUGUUUGCAAUAACCCAGCCUAUCUCAGAUCACAGUUGGAAUAUUACCAAGUUAAUUCCCAAGAAUAUUGCCAUGUUCGGGUGAUAGAGAGGAUCUACUUUCAAUUCUCUCUUCACCAGACAUAGAAACAUAGAAACAUAGAAAAUAAGUGCAGUAAUAGGCCAUUCGGCCCUUCGAGCCUGCACCGCCAUUCAAUAUGAUCAUGGCUGAUCAUCCAACUCAGUAUCCUGUACCUGCCUUCUCUCCAUACCCCCUGAUCUCUUUAGCCACAAGGGCCACAUCUAACUCCCUCUAACAUGGUAGAGACUUGAAGGAAAGAGAUAUGUGGCACGGCGGCGCGCCGGUAGAGUUGCUGCCUCACAGUGCUUGAGACCCAGGUUCAAUCCUGACCAUGGGUGUUGUCUGAAAAAAGUCUGUAUGUGAUCACUGUGACCACGUGGGCUUUCCCCGGGUGCUCUGGUUUCCUCCCACACUCCAAAUACGUACAAGUUUGUAGGUUACUUGGCUUCAGUAAAAAUUGUAAAAUGUCCUUGGUGUGUAGGAUAGUGCUAGUGUAUGGGGAUCGACGGUCGGCACGGACUCGGUUGGCUGAAGGGCCAGUUUCUGGACUAUCUCUAAACUAGACUAAACUAAUGAUAUCUGCUGCCACAUGGUGUGUAGAGAUGAAUGGCAUAGAUGUCUUUAGAGAAGUACAGGUGAGAUAAAGUAUAGAAAUAUGUGAUGACUGAAGUAGUAGAGUUGCUGCUUUACACCUCCAGUGACAGUUCAAUCCUGACCUCAGGUGCUGACUGUGUGGAGUUUGCACGCUCUCCCUCUACCUGCCCCACUGUGCUGCCCUGAAAGCCUUUACAACCCUCUCGCCAAAGUUUAUCCUGCUCUGAUGAAACGAGGGCAAGCUGAAAUAGUAAUUCUGUUUAUAUCUGUGUAGAUGCUGCCUGACCUUCAGAGUAUUUCCAAUACAUUCUGUCUUUACUUGAAGCAAAUAGGGUUGUACCUCUCCCGUAAACACCAUUACCACGAGUCAGGGCAAAUGUACAGGGCUCCCUCGUGAAGCACUUGCUGGAAAACAUUUUGGGGGAAAUAUGUCAGCAUAAUUGAAGUAAAAAAACCAUAGACAUUUCAAAAGAAUAUUUUCAUAACAUAAGCAAUUCAAGAUCAAAAUAAACCAUUUGAAAAGCCAGUACCAUUAAUCAGGUCUGAUGUGGAAGAUAGAACGAAGGGGAGGUUGGUUCUGAAUGCACUGGGAUGAAGGGAUAUUAAUAAGAUUAAGGCAAAGGAGGAUGAUUGCCUCACCGCAGUGGACAUAAAUCUCCCCUGCAGUCUUAACCCUUUCUUUGUCGUGUCCUCAAGGCUUCUAUCAACAAGGAUGUGUCAUUCACACAGAUUUACGAUGGUUGGGAAUAUGUUUUAAUAGUAAGAUUAAACGAGGACUUACCAGUUUGAAGUUUGAUCUGUAUUUUAUGAGGAGUUACGAUGAGGGAUUACGUGAAGAACCCGUCCAGCACGCAUGCGCGACAUACUUCAAAGCAGCGGUGUGGAAUCACAGACAGACACAGUAAUCGAAAUAAACAUAGUAAAGAAAAGGAGAGCUUAGAUACCAGUUUGAUCUCUAUUAUUGAGCGUGGGAGCGGAGGGCACGUAAUCCCUCAUCGUAACUCCUCAUAAAAUACAGAUCAAACUUCAAACUGGUAAGUUCUCGAUUAAUCUUACUAUUUUACUUCGGAAUCACGUGAGUGACUACGUGAAGAUUUUAAAGCACUGUGAUUUCAAACCGUGUAACAGUUCAUACUUCACUCACUGCCGAAGCCACUUGAGGGAGGAAGUGUGUUAUCGUAAUCAACCAAUGAAUCUGUUUGUAAAAACAAUAAUGGUAUUUAUUAACAAUAACAAAAAAACAAAUUGUUCCCCCGAGCUUAAAUUAUAUAUUUGCAGAUUGUAAUAUUUUCUCUGCAAAUAAAGCAGGUUUUGCCAACGGCUUAUUAUAAAAAGUUCUGAACGUUCUUUCCCCAGGCCACCCCGCUGUAGCCAGGAUGUGGUCUAUUGGUAUUUCCAUUCUCUUAGCUGCCGAUGUGGAUGCUGCCCUGGUGGAGUGCGAUUUGUACAUGUUAGUAUUUAUACCAGCAGCUUUCAGCACCUGCUUGAGCCAUCUAGAAAUGGUUUGGCUCGUCACCUGACCAUAAGGUUUCUUGUGGCUGACCCAUAAGGCUUUUUCACUCCCUCAAUGGAUUUUAGUUGUGUCUAUAUAGUACAGUAGGUGGGUUAUGGCACAUAACCGUGGUUCUGGUGGGUAGGCCCGGAAUUCCAUGACUGGAUUAGAUGUUCCUGGCCUGCUCUGUUUGACCAGCCCCUGGAUAGCAAAUGAGACAUGGUCUGGAGUUAUGAUCAUGUUUUCAAGUCGUAAAAGGUGAAGUGACUGGACUCUUUGUGCUGACACACGUGCCAUCAGCAUGAUCGGCUUGAGAGUUAAUUGUUCCAGGGUGAGGGACCUGGCUGGUGACCAUCCCCUGAGGUAUGUCAGGACCACACUGACAUCCCAGAUAUGGGUGUACCUAGGUCUAGGGGGGUUAGAGUUGAAUAUCCUCCUCAUGAGUUUGACCACCAGCGGGUGGGACCCCAUGGCCUGUUGCCCUGGUGCCUGUAUUAAAUAGGCAGACAGAGCACUUCUGGCUGUGUUGAUGGCGCUGUAGCUGAGUCCUUCAUUGUGGUAAAGGCCUGCCAGGAACUCCAGUACAUCGGUGACUGUUGUGGUUGAAUAGGUUGUUCCUGUAUCCAAACAGUAUUUCUCCCACUUCUUGAUACUAGACAAGUACUGUUUCCUUGUGGAUACACGGUGGGAUGCUGUCAUGGUGUUGAUGGUGUUUUCUGACAAUCCCAGGCCCAGCAAAGGCCUUUUCAAAAUUUACAACCCAGGCGUUUGUUUUAUCAUGGCAUGGGUGGCUUGUGCCAGAUACUGGAUGGGUUAGCAAUUCUGGGUUACUGGGAAAAGUCAUAGGGGUCUCAACGAUCAUGUCGAGGAGCACUGGGAACCAUUGCUGAGUAGGCCAGUCGGGUACUAUCAAAAUACCUAAAGCAGAGUCCAUUUGUAUUUUGCGUAGUACCCGACUGAUGAGGCAGAAGGGAGGAAAUGCAUAAAAGAAGAAAUUUCCCCAGUCCAGCACGAACGCAUCUACCGCUGCUGCCCCAGGGUCUAGUUCCAAAGCGACAUACAUAGGAACCUGGUGAUUUAGUCUGGAUGCAAAUAGAUCGAUAUCUGGCGUACCAUAUUGCUUGGUAAUUUUAGCAAAUACUUUGGGAUUUAACAUCCAUUCGGUGUUGUCAUUGAAUUUGCGUGACCUGGUGUCUGCCACUGUAUUUAGCUUACCCGGCAGGUAAGUUGCUGAUAGCCAAAUAUGUCUGUCGACACACCAUUGCCAGAUUGGGUUUACCAAUUUGUCGCAUGAUAUCGAUUUUAUGCCGCCCGUAUGGUUAAUAUAGGCCAUCACCGUAGUAUUAUCUAUUUGUAACCGAACAUGCAAGUGAUGCAUAUUUGUUGAAUAUGCUUUUAAUCCAUAAAAUCGCUUGGUUUGACUAAUUAGCAUUGAUUUCCCUGAGCCAUUGGCAAGGAUGGUGAAAGGCGCUGAUCUUAAUCUAUGUCGCGUGCAGAAAGGAACUUUGGCAUGGUGGUGCUGUUUCUGUAACACAAACUUGUGUUUUUAAGAAAUGCCUUCCAUUACAAUGUGAACUACUUUAAACUUUGCCCCUCUCAACACUAGACCAGACUAGAUAAGGGCAGCAGUAGUUUUUCUCCCUUGGACGACUUUGGUGAAUCGUAGCCACAGAGUUAAGCAGCCUAACCUAUUCAUGCUGACCAAGAUGUCCAUCUGAGCUAGUCCCAUUUGACUGCAUUCAACCUUAUCCCUCUAAACCUUUUCUAUCCAAUACCAAUCCAAAUCUAAGUUAACCUCGGUUCACCACAUUAAUUCCCGGGAUGGCGGGACAAUCAUAUGAUGAAAGAAUGGGUCGACUGGGCUUGUAUUCAUUGGAAUUUAGAAGGAUGAGAGGAGAUCUUAUAGAAACAUACCAAAUUCUUGAGGGAUUUCAAGAGAGAGCUAAAUAAGGCUCUUAAAAAUAGCGGAAUCAGGGGAUAUGGGGAGAAGGCAGGAACGGGGUACUGAUUGGGGAUGAUCAGCCAUGAUCACAUUGAAUGGCGGUGCUGGCUCGAAGGGCCGAAUGACCUACUCCUGCACCUAUUGUUUAUUGUCUAUUGUCUAUUGAUUGGAUAGGCAAGAUGCAGGAGAAAUGUUCCCGAUGUUGGGGCAGUUCAGAACCAGGGGUCACAGUUUACGAAUAAGGGGUAGGUCAUUUAGGACUGAGAUGAGGAAAAACCCUUUCAUCCAGAGAGUUGUGAAUCUGUGGAAUCAUCUGCCACAGAAGGCAGUGGAGGCCAAUUCACUGGAUGUUUUCAAGAGGGAGUUAGAUUUAGCUCUUAGGGCAAAGGUAAUCGAGGAAUAUGGGGAUAAAACAGGAACGGGGUACUGAUUUUAGAUGAUCAGCCAUGAUCAUAUUGAAUGAUGGUGCUGGCUUGAAGGGCCAAAUGGCCUACUCCUUCACCUAUUUUUCUGUGUUUCUAUGUUUGUAUGUCUUUUAGAUAUUUCAAUUGUAUUCACCUGCAUUAGUUCCUCCAGGAGCUCAUUACGUAUAUGUUCCACCCCGUUAGUGGAACGAGGCUUUAUUUUAACACUUCAGUAAAAAUAAGCCACGUCAGGCAAUGCAAUACUCCUUCAGAUUUAAUAUUCAAGUUUCAACUCAAAGCAUUACGACAAAGGUGAACAUGGUUCAAAAUGCAUUUUAAAGCUACGAACAAGGAAAACAGAGACAGUGUCAUUCAGAAACAAGCAGGACAAGUACAUGGAUAGGAAAGGUUUAGAGGGAUGUGGAUCAUAUAGGACUAGCUUAGAAGGGGGCAUCUAGGUUAUAUGGACAAUUUGGGCUGCAGGGCUCGUUUCCAUGUUGUAUGACUAUGGCUCUAUGACUAUCAGGGGAUGGACAAUAAAAGCCAGGUUUGGCCUCAUGUAAUAAGAGACAUUCAAAAGAUAAACAGUGGGACUUGGCCUUCAUUUAUCCUGCAAUUGACAGAGGAUCUUGUAAAUAAUGGUGUCUCGUAACCUGCAAGUUGUCCACCACGGUUCCUGCACCAACAAUUCUAAAGCACAUUGUUAGCAACCAUCUUGUUUUGCUGGAGGUUCUAAAAUGUGACUUGCAGAAGAUUGGAGUUCUCUGAGACUGAAAAACUUAUUUUUCAACAAUACAACUAUAAGUUAAAGUGGCCAAUCAUCUCAAUCAUGAUCGCGUGGUGUAUAAAAUGGUUGCCACCUUUUACUGCAAAUAGGCAGUGACUAAGUCUCAAAGUUAUUUGCUGAAUGUAAAUGUUGUGAGAUGGUUCUUAUCAACAUUAAUGUUGCACGAUCUUUUGUUCUAUCAAUGCGUUUGAAUAAUAAACAUUUAUUCCUCUUUAAACACCAAAGAGUAUCAACUACUUGGAAACAAUAUGGGUGAGUUUCUGAAGUUGUUUUUGGAAGCAUUUGGGUUAAAAUCAUGGUUUAAUAUGGGCAAUGCACAUUUUAUUUAGGAAAAAAGUCAUUGAAGAUAUACUCUGAAGGGAAAAUCUUAUAAAAUCAUAAUUAACCCAAAAUGUUUCCCUCUGCCAUAGGUCAGAUAUCAAUUACUUUAAUGAAAAACAGAUUGAUUUUCCAUUUGAAUCCACUGAGUAUAAAGUAAAAUAAAAUCUGUGAUUAUUAAAAGCAACAUUUUGAUGGGACCAGUCAGCAUACGAGGAAAGUUAACUGAUACCAUCUACAGUCAGAGUUCUACAAAAUGUGGGUACAUAUUAACUGGCAUCUGCAGACAGUGUUUCAAAAGGGAUUACACAUUUGCAUGGCAAUCGCUAUUCGGCACCAGCCUGCAGAGAUCAUGUAUGUCUGGAGUCAGGGCUCCAAUGUUUGGGAUCGUUCGUUUGGUUACCCAGUCAUGCCCGCUGCUUCUGAGUAGCCUGUUACAGACCAUCUACUCAGGGGGAUACAUUUCACUUCAGGGUGACUUAAUCCAAAUUAGAUCGUUUGGGAAAGGAAUACUCACAAUAAAUCUCAGACAGCAUCCCAUUUCUUUGUUAAAUUAAGGAUAUUUCUGCCUAUACCUGUAUGAGUCUGGAUGAGUAAUACAUGUAUAUUUUGAGUUUUUUUAAUAUUAAAUGCACUGAGAUAAUACAGAAGAUAGGCACGAAGUGCUGGAGAAACUCAGCGGGUCAGGCAGCAUCUCUGGAGAAAAGGAAUAGAUGACGUUUUG